Molecule: ribosomal RNA, 380 nt
Filed under: uncultured Anoxybacillus sp.
Lineage: Bacteria; Bacillati; Bacillota; Bacilli; Caryophanales; Anoxybacillaceae
Description: bacterial SSU rRNA
Rfam family: Bacterial small subunit ribosomal RNA
Source: RNAcentral
GAGAGAUCGGCGUUCCCCGUCGGGGGACAGGGUGACAGGUGGUGCAUGGUUGUCGUCAGCUCGUGUCGUGAGAUGUUGGGUUAAGUCCCGCAACGAGCGCAACCCUCGACCUUAGUUGCCAGCAUUCAGUUGGGCACUCUAAGGUGACUGCCGGCUAAAAGUCGGAGGAAGGUGGGAUGACGUCAAAUCAUCAUGCCCCUUAUGUUCUGGGCUACACACGUGCUACAAUGGCCGGUACAGACGGACGCAAAGCCGCGAGGUGGAGCAAAUCCUAAAAAGCCGGUCUCAGUUCGGAUUGCAGGCUGCAAUUCGCCUGCAUGAAGUCGGAAUCGCUAGUAAUCGCAGGUCAGCAUACUGCGGUGAAUACGUUCCCGGGCCUU